CCCUCGCCGAGAAAGACAUCGGAGCAAGAGUCCGAGACGGCACCGCAGCAGGUCCCGAGAUAGACGGCACAGAUCCCGCUCCAAGUCCCCAGGUCAUCACCGUAGUCACAGACACAGGAGCCACUCAAAGUCUCCUGAAAGAUCUAAGAAAAGCCACAAGAAGAGCCGGAGAGGGAAUGAGUAAUGGACUCAGUUUGGGUUUAGUCCCAAUGGCCUCCUUCGGAUAUG
Molecule: long non-coding RNA, 228 nt
Organism: Hipposideros armiger (great roundleaf bat)
Lineage: Eukaryota; Metazoa; Chordata; Mammalia; Chiroptera; Hipposideridae
Exons: 3
Source: RefSeq, a predicted model, not a curated record